This is a long non-coding RNA of Acanthopagrus latus (yellowfin seabream), 1234 nucleotides long. RefSeq lists it as uncharacterized. The record is from RefSeq and is a predicted model, not a curated record. The transcript has 6 exons. NCBI's taxonomy places the organism in Eukaryota, Metazoa, Chordata, Actinopteri, Spariformes, Sparidae.
UGAGGGGACAUCAGUGGAGAUGCCUGAUGAGGAAGAGGCAGGACUCAGUAAGAAAUCAUAAUCUUUUUGUCUUAUAGAUUCCCAUGAGUUUUGGCAUGACUGGUCAAACAAUCAAGCAUUGUGGUGUGAUUUCUGUGGGGAUCCACCAAUCCAAGUCUGUAGAAUACGAUUUAUAGGCCUGCACAUCUCAGCAUUGCCAUAAUGCUUAAUGUGGAAUGGCAUUUUGAUGGCUUCCACAUGCCUCUGCCACCAACAGAAGCUGCAGAAGGGGGCUAUUCCCACCACACAUGCGGUACUAUAUACAUAUAAUCUUUUUAUUUUCUUUACAAAACUCUAUUUAUUUUUGGCAUCUUGAAAAAAGACCCCUAUCUAAUUUUGGAAUUUUUAAACCUCUCUUUUCCUUUUGUUGCUAGAAUAUUGCCAAUGGAAAUGCCACACCAGAUUUGUGACUCCCCCCCAGAGAAUGUGUCUGUCAUUGCUGGGCGGCCUGUGGUGUUCAUCAACAUGAAAGGACGAGAUGAUCUGACCCUCCCAGAGCUGUGAUGUGGUGGCUGCUGUGCCAGCUGGACCCCAGGGCUGUACCAUGUCCAAGUCAGUGGCUACUGGCCUGCCACCAUCCAUUUCCAUACCAUCUAUGAUGUAGCUAUGAUUCAAGCUUUACGGGAGAUGAAGUUGGCUGCUCCAGGGAUUUCCCACCUGACCUUUAUGAGAAUGCUGGAAGCACAAACAACAGUGUAUGGCAGGACUGGUAAAGUUUGCUCAGACACAUUUUUCCAGAGCUUCAUGGAGCGGGUCAUCAGCUCCUACGAAGUGGACAAGUUGUGCUCAGAGCAACCAUUCGUCUGCACAACCUGUCCCCUCAGAUGUUGGCUGUGUCUGUGGAUGGAAACAGGAAGCACUACUGCUUCAAAAAGGGUGGACAGUCAGUGUAUAUUUCAUGUUUCAUGGUCUAGGCAUGUCCAUGUCUCAGCUCUCAUUUGUUACACCACUCUGAGGAAGGGGGUUAUUUUGACGGUGUGCUCAUCUGCAAGGAUAACGAGGUUGCAGUAUUUGCGGACGACCUCCAAAAGAGGGCCAAGCAUUUGCCAGGUAAAGGUGUUUGUGGCAGGUCUCAGCUGAACGCAGCAAAGGAGACAACAAGCAAGAGGGCUUGUUCCAGCCUUGAUGAGCAAGGUCUAAAGUAGCAGUGUGCCGUCGUGGCAUUAUCCUUCGGGCCCUGAAUAUGUACAGGCAA